GACAGAGGGUGCAAACGUUGUUCGGAAUUACUGGGCGUAAAGCGUGUGUAGGCUGCUAAGUAAGUCGGAUGUGAAAGCCCCGGGCUCAACCCGGGAAGUGCACUCGAAACUGCUUAGCUUGAGUAUCGGAGAGGUUGGUGGAAUUCUCGGUGUAGAGGUGAAAUUCGUAGAUAUCGAGAGGAACACCGGUGGCGAAGGCGGCCAACUGGACGAAUACUGACGCUGAGACGCGAAAGCGUGGGGAGCAAACAGG
Molecule: ribosomal RNA, 253 nt
Filed under: uncultured bacterium
Lineage: Bacteria
Description: partial 16S ribosomal RNA
Rfam family: Bacterial small subunit ribosomal RNA
Source: RNAcentral